CCUACGGGUGGCAGCAGUGAGGAAUAUUGGUCAAUGGCCGAGAGGCUGAACCAGCCAAGUCGCGUGAGGGAAGACGGCCCUACGGGUUGUAAACCUCUUUUGUCGGGGAGCAAAGAGAGUCACGUGUGACUCAUUGAGAGUACCCGAAGAAAAAGCAUCGGCUAACUCCGUGCCAGCAGCCGCGGUAAUACGGAGGAUGCGAGCGUUAUCCGGAUUUAUUGGGUUUAAAGGGUGCGCAGGCGGAGGUGCAAGUCAGCGGUAAAAUUGCGGGGCUCAACCCCGUACUGCCGUUGAAACUGGCAGUCUUGAGUACAGUAGAGGUGGGCGGAAUGCGUGGUGUAGCGGUGAAAUGCUUAGAUAUCACGAAGAACUCCGAUUGCGAAGGCAGUAUACCGGCGCCCAACUGACGCUGAAGCACGAAAGCGUGGGUAUCGAACAGGAUUAGAUACCCCAGUAGUC
RNAcentral lists this ribosomal RNA (459 nucleotides) under uncultured bacterium. RNAcentral's name for it is "partial 16S ribosomal RNA". It matches the Rfam family "Bacterial small subunit ribosomal RNA", at positions 338 to 795 of the family's 1533-position model. The record is from RNAcentral.